Molecule: transfer RNA, 73 nt
Filed under: Ailuropoda melanoleuca (giant panda)
Lineage: Eukaryota; Metazoa; Chordata; Mammalia; Carnivora; Ursidae
Rfam family: tRNA
About the family: Transfer RNA (tRNA) molecules are approximately 80 nucleotides in length.
Source: Rfam by way of RNAcentral
ACCUGACUGGCUCAGUUGGUAGAGCAUGUGACUCUUGGUCUCAGAAUUGUGAGUUCGAGCCCCACAUUGGGAA